This 247-nucleotide ribosomal RNA is filed under the name uncultured bacterium. RNAcentral describes it as "partial 16S ribosomal RNA". It matches the Rfam family "Bacterial small subunit ribosomal RNA", at positions 524 to 769 of the family's 1533-position model. The record is from RNAcentral.
UACGUAGGGUGCGAGCGUUAAUCGGAAUUACUGGGCGUAAAGCGUGCGCAGGCGGUUCGUCGUGUCCGAUGUGAAAGCCCCGGGCUCAACCUGGGAAUGGCAUUGGAAACUGGCGGACUCGAGUGUGGCAGAGGGGGGUGGAAUUCCGCGUGUAGCAGUGAAAUGCGUAGAGAUGCGGAGGAACACCGAUGGCGAAGGCAGCCCCCUGGGCUAACACUGACGCUCAGGCACGAAAGGCGUGGGGAGC